Molecule: long non-coding RNA, 1007 nt
Filed under: Cottoperca gobio
Lineage: Eukaryota; Metazoa; Chordata; Actinopteri; Perciformes; Bovichtidae
Description: lncRNA (ENSCGOG00000013352.1)
Source: RNAcentral
UCAAUAUUAGAUUCAAUUGGGUUCAGUCAAAAUGUACAUGAACCAACUCACUGUUUAGACCACACUCUGGACCUUGUUCUGGGAUAUGGUGUGUCCACAUAAUCCUCUUUUAUCAGACCAUUUUUUAAUAACUUUUGAAGUCCUGUUACUGGACUACAAGCCAGUAGGCAAAAUAUCCUACGCUCGAUGUUUAUCUGAAAGUGCUGUGACUAAAUUUAAGGAAGUGAUUCCAUCAGCCCUUAAUUCAAUACCAGGACUCAAUAUCAAUAUAACAGAGGACUCCAAUGCUAACUUUAGUCCCUCCCAAAUUAAUCAUCUUGUUGAUAGCGCUGCAGCCUCACUGCGAAUAACACUCGACUCUGUCGCUCCUCUAAAGAAGAAGAUCAUAAAACAGAAAAAGAAAGCUCCAUGGCUUAAUUUACAAAUCCGCAAACUAAAACAAAAGUCGAGAAAUCUUGAAAGUAAAUGGCGUUCCACUAAAUUGGAAGAAUCUCGUUUAGUCUGGUUAGAUCAUCUUAAAACGUAUAAGAAGGCUCUCCGUAAUGCCAGAGCAGCUUAUUACUCUUCCUUAAUAGAAGAAAAUAAGAACAACCCCAGGUUUCUUUUCAGCACUGUAGCCAGGCUGACAGAGAGCCACAGCUCUACAGAGCCUUCUGUUCCUAUAUCUCUCAGUAGUGACGACUUUAUGAGUUUCUUUAACGAUAAAAUUAUAAUUAUUAGAGACAAAAUUAAUCUCCUCCUGACCUCAAUUGGUAAUGACUUAACUUCAACUGUUGGAAUUUUAAAAACAUCUGUAACUCCUGAAAUAUAUCUAGACUGUUUUACUCCAAUCAACCUUAACCAACUAACUUCAACAAUCUCAUCGUCUAAACCAUCAACCUGUCUUUUGGACCCGAUUCCAACUAAACUGUUUAAAGAAGUUUUACCCUUAAUUAACACUUCGUUAUUAAAUAUGAUCAACCUGUCUCUAUUAUCUGGCUACGUACCAAAAUCCUUUAAAGUAGCUG